AGGACGACGCUGGCGGCGUGCCUAAUACAUGCAAGUCGAACGGUCUUUCUAUGGAAGCUUGCUUCCACUGAGAAGAUAGUGGCGAACGGGUGAGUAACACGUGGGUAACCUGCCCAUAAGAGGGGGGAUAACAUCCGGAAACGGGUGCUAAUACCGCAUAGUUUUCUUGAUCGCAUGAUUGAGAAAGGAAAGACGGCCUUUGUGCUGUCGCUUAUGGAUGGACCCGCGGCGUAUUAGUUAGUUGGUGAGGUAACGGCUCACCAAGACGAUGAUACGUAGCCGACCUGAGAGGGUGAUCGGCCACAUUGGGACUGAGACACGGCCCAAACUCCUACGGGAGGCAGCAGUAGGGAAUCUUCCGCAAUGGACGAAAGUCUGACGGGGCAACGCCGCGUGAGUGAAAGAAGGUUUUCGGAUCGUAAAACUCUGUUGUCAGAGAAGAACAAGUUGGAGAGUAACUGCUCCAGCCUUGACGGUAUCUGACCAGAAAGCCACGGCUAACUACGUGCCAGCCGCCGC
Molecule: ribosomal RNA, 519 nt
Filed under: uncultured bacterium
Lineage: Bacteria
Description: bacterial SSU rRNA
Rfam family: Bacterial small subunit ribosomal RNA
Source: RNAcentral